Molecule: long non-coding RNA, 1390 nt
Organism: Pseudophryne corroboree (corroboree frog)
Lineage: Eukaryota; Metazoa; Chordata; Amphibia; Anura; Myobatrachidae
Exons: 5
Source: RefSeq, a predicted model, not a curated record
GGAUGAGUUCCAGAGAAAAAGCUCCAGGCUCUUGAAGGAUUCAGGGACUGAAUUUCAGGACCGUCAAGGCAUGUUGCUCUUCAGGGGCUAUUGCAGAGAAUGUCGGUGUCACAGAACUGGCGAUGGAUGUUUGAGCACUCGGGGAUUCUUCCGAUGGUCGGGAAGGGGAACUGAAGCUGUGUCGAAACAAAGAAGGACAGAUGCAGAGAGAAAGAGAAAGCGAGAGCAUCAGACAGAGAGAGAUGGAACAAGGUAGUGAAAGGACAAACAGAAAUGAUAGCAACAAUACAUUGGAAAGGAGAAGUAAAAAGGUGAAUGUAAGAAAGGAAUAUAAACAACGCAAGGCAGAAAAGGUGGAAUGGAAUAUACAGUACUGCCACCACCUGCCCACCUGCAGCCCCCCAGCCCAGGCAGAAGAGGAGGAGCCAGGCCCCAGCUCAGUCGAUUUCAAUGUCCACUAUUACACGGAAUAAGAAAAACAAAAGAGGACGGCUUGGAACAGGAGAACAAAGUGUUACUUUCCCAAGUGCUACCACGGCGACCGGUCACCUAAACGUAAAGAGCCUCGGUGUCAAAGCCAAAGCAUGGCCUUCAUGAUACUUCAAUGCCCGGUCUCUGAUCAACAGGGCAAUGAAAAUGCUUGAGUGCUCUUAAUUACUGCAAUUGACGUGUGCCUUAUGGUGAGGAGCAGAGACAUUAACAGUGAGUGAUAACAGCAUCAGCCUCUUAAUAUGAAAACAGUUACAGUAUUGGCAGAAGUCCUGUCAGGCUGGCGGUGGACUUGUGUCAACAUGGCAACUUUAUUCCAUAAACAUCUUUUAGAGGGUGAGCCUUAAAAAUCAGCUUGUAAUUCUUUCCCAAUCAAGGAAAUGGUCUAGUUAAUUACUGGGCUGGUGGGGGACAUGACUUGAGACUACACCUUUAGAACAUAACAUAGCUGAAGUAAGCGUAACAGAAGCUGAUACUGGUAUGCAGUCCUUCUGUUAUGCAGUUUGUAUUCCUACUUAGAACUAGCUCCCUGUAUUACGAAAUACAUAUUUCCGGAUAUGGGAAAACAGCAUGAAACAAUGAAUAUUCCAAUGUAAGCACUAAAGGAUAAUAGCACCUUCCAUGUGAAAGAGAGAGGUGUCUGUAAAGCAGUACAUACAGUCAGUCAUGCUGUGAGUAAUGUUUUUACACCCAAAAGAAUAAUUAUUAGAGCAGGGUGCCUUGACCUAUAUAGACAUGCUUUUGUGGGGACUAGUCCCGUAGAAAAUUCCUUUUUGUACCUAUAUGCAGCACCCCAUAAAAUAGGUAGCGUUAACCGUACAUUAUACUUCUCUCCGGUUCUUAUGUAUUACCCAGUAAAUUACUAAUUACAACGCUCUCUACAUCUGGCAUGUGAAUGUGU